RNAcentral lists this ribosomal RNA (2507 nucleotides) under Triticum aestivum (bread wheat). RNAcentral describes it as "partial small subunit ribosomal RNA". Lineage: Eukaryota; Viridiplantae; Streptophyta; Magnoliopsida; Poales; Poaceae. The record is from RNAcentral.
GCGUGCGUGCGGGGUGUGAGCGAACGAGGAGGAGAAGGGUUGCUGAUCUCGUGCCCAGCAGGCGGCUGGGGCAGGAGCGGUAGGAGGUGGCGAGGAGAGGUGGUGAAAGAGAGACGACGGCGGGGCCAGGAGAACCGGCAGCCAGAGGAGGCAGGUGGAGGAGUAGGUGACGGGUGGGUGGGUUUAGUGGCGGCGGAGCGAGGAGGGACGGGGCCGGUGGCGACGGCGGCUAUCGGUGCGGGGCGACGUUGGGGGGAGGAGGGUAUUGGAGAGAGAUAAGGAGCGUACGCCGUAGCCAAGGGGAGCGGUACCCACCGAGGUGGUACGCCGACGCCCCACCAGCAGCUCCAGCGGCCCACCCGGAGGGCGAGCGAUGGGGCUAGCUGGUGGAGAAAACCUAGGAGGGAACCGAGUGAUAGUGGCCGGUAGACACCGAGCCUGGGUCUAAAGAAACGGUUCGGCCUGUCGUACCCUAGCCUCUACGAGAUUUGAAGUUGACCUCUAUAAACAUCACAUGUUUACCUGAGCUAAAAAAAUACUCCCACGCGUGUACGACAGUGUACCAACCAGCGACUUCCGUACCCGUCUGAGUCGAAACACCGCUGGUGUUACCUAAUGGAAUGAAUGUACUCGUAACUACGAUGAACCACAUUGCCCAUGUUACCAAAGUAAUAAAAUUAAAAUUAUUAACCUUGUCCCGGUGAGUUGUUUUCUAAGUUUCUGGAACUUCCUCCUCGUUUCCCACCCUCCAACUGUGAAAUUUAUCGAUAAACUUUCAGACUUCCUCAUCGAGGUAACCCACCCUACAACUACAGUAUACGGGUUUUCGCAUUAGACGGUUUUACAAUUUUUCCUGUUUUUAAUUAGACUUACCUUAUAGAGUAUUGUUGACGUUACCCACAACAAUUCUUUCGAGAACUGUUGCCUCAAGAUGAUCGUCUCCAUUCAAUAAAACAAGAACUCUUCCAACAUUCCUCUAUUGGAAAGAAUGGCCUCUACAAGUGUUGUAUCAAACUUAUUACCACAUAGAGCAAAGUUUCCGGAUACAGCUAUGUUAACCUCUAGAACUUUUCAUGUUGUGGUUUGAAACACUUUUCAAAGACCCGUAGUUUAAACACCAACGGUUCUUUCAACUAUCAGAGAUGGGACGACAAUACCCUCGUUCAUAUAAACAUUUCCCUAAAGGAAAGUUAGAGAAUAAGUACAACUCAAUAAAGUACAGAAGACAAGUCUUCUUGAUACUACGUACAUCUUACGAAUUAUCCAAUUGAUAUAUAGAAGAGAUAACUUUGGUUCCAACAUGUAUACGUCUUCGAUCUAACAAAACAACUUAUUUGAUUUCCCCCAUAGCUCUUCUUCCACUUUAAGGAAAUCUUCCCCAUAACUCUUACAACACAACUUAUUGUUAGAAGCUCUUGUGUUAUUUUCCUAUCACCAGUUCCCAACGUACAGGCUCACGGACGCCUCUUCUUCCACCUUAAGGAAAUCUACCGGACUGAAGUUUUCUUUCGACGUCAACAACCACACUUACAGCUUCACGCAGUAAGUAGACUCCCCUUUGCACCAUGAACCUUAUAGAUUGUGUUGUGGGAAAUUCUCAACCAUUUAUAUUGAUAAAGGGUGAACCUAAUCCUUAGAGAAUACUCUUUACCUUUAAAAUUAACCACAUGUCCAUCACAUCUAAAGUCUCCUUUUAGACUACCCCAACGUAGUUAAAGACCGUAUGGACGAAAAUAAUAAAGGCCUUUCCAAAAAAACGUAAUUACUUUGAAAACUACAGAAGCAUUGAAAGUGAACAAGAGGGGUAGGUUUUUAUUACGUACUACGUACUCAAAUCCAAGAUUACGUUUCUACUCUAAUAGAUAACUUCUUGACCACAACAUGUUGAAAUAUAAUAGUAGUCGAGUUCAAAUGUAUCAUAGUUCACCUCAGGUGCCCUUAGAAUUUCUUCGAACCAGACUGGCACCCAACACCUAGUGGCGGCGUUCUUGUACAGUGAUUUCCAUACGUCAGAUUACAGGUCUCCGAGUUCUAUAUUCUGGUUCGAACAAUAGAAGGGUUCAACACGAGUGUACCAGUUCCGUAAGAUGAGAUCUACUCAAACGUUACCGGUAGGACCAGAUCCCGCCGGUAGUGAGCGUCCCCGGGUCUUCGUGAACCAGCUUCAACACUUCCUAUAUCAAGUCCAAAUCCGUAUGUUCCAUGUGUUGUUCGAAGUACAAAUCUCCUACUUGGCUGUGAUCAACCCUCGAUCUUACUUCUUCCGAUGGACACACCUCUUUCUCCUCUUUACUACUCUACAAAUACCGUUAAUCACCUACAACAAUAGAAUCAAAGACUUACAAACAGAACCGGACGAGCCUGUGGAACAAACUAUAGACUUAUCGGGAAAGGCGAGUGACAAGUUUAUACGGGAAGUAAAUAAACGUAUACUGGUCUGUUACAUCAAGUUUAUUAAUUCAACAAUAGGGUCCUUAUAAAACACUUUACUACAAAUCGGAAAUUUU